This 1012-nucleotide long non-coding RNA is filed under the name Rhinopithecus bieti (black snub-nosed monkey). RNAcentral describes it as "lncRNA (ENSRBIG00000045633.1)". The record is from RNAcentral. Lineage: Eukaryota; Metazoa; Chordata; Mammalia; Primates; Cercopithecidae.
AGAGAAGAGAGGCUCAAACUGAAAUCUGAGGAGCCUCAGCAUUCAGAACUCAACUGGGCGCUGUGGCUCAAGCCUGCAAUCCCAGCACUUUGGGAGGAUGAGGCAGGCAGAACACCUGAGGUUAGAAGUUUGAGGCCAACAUGGCCAAACUUCGUCUCUACUGAAAAUAUAAAAAUUAGCUGUGUGUGGUGGUGAGUGCCUGUAAUCCCAGCUACUCAGGAGGCUGAGGCAGAAGAGUCUAUUGAACCUGGAAGGCGAAGGUUGCAGUGAGCUGAGAUCACACCACUGCCCUCCAGCCUGGGCAACAGAGCAAGACUCCAUAUCAGAAAAAAAAAAAAAGAAAGAAAGAAAAAGAAAAUAACUCAAUGGAGCACAAGCAGCUGAGUAAUGCCCCAGGAAGCCGGCGUCAUUGUUGGACAGCUCAGAUGUUCAGGAUGUUUCAUUUUGAACCUACCUCAUUGGAAUUUCAAAAUAUUAGCCUCUUUGGAGCAAUACGGAGCAAGUCUGUUCCUUCAAGUAGAUGAAAAGUUCCCUGCAUGCCUUCCAUUGGACUUCUCCCCUUUAGCUUAAAAAUAGCCACAGUCCUGAAACAUGUCUCAGAAGCAGAUGUCACCCAAACCCUACUCUUCCAACUCAGCCAGCCAGCCACAUGCACGACCCCAAAGCAAAGAAGAGGCAGCGACCUGAGAAGCUACAUAUUGACUUGGCGCUACCACGGGUGUAGGAGCCUGCAUUGCUGAAUCACAGGAUGAAGGCGAAUCCCUGCCAGCCUCCAUCCGUCUCCAGCAAAGGAAUGGAGCAGCAUUCAGAACUGUUGCAAGAAAGCCAGAGAGCCAGCCUUGGAGGCCGUGCACCCAGGAGCACCGCCCAGAGAGGUCUCCACGGCCGCUUCCCCUGACACUGCCCAGCCACUGCGCAGAGGCAGCCAAAGUCCAGGUUGACACUGGACAACAAACACCAGAACCUCUGCCCCUGCUGCCAGAAGCUCUAAUUCUCACUGUCACCUCCCAAG